Molecule: ribosomal RNA, 253 nt
Filed under: uncultured bacterium
Lineage: Bacteria
Description: partial 16S ribosomal RNA
Rfam family: Bacterial small subunit ribosomal RNA
Source: RNAcentral
UACAGAGGGUGCGAGCGUUGUCCGGAAUCACUGGGCGUAAAGGGCGCGUAGGCGGCUUGAUAAGGUUGCGGUGAAAGCCCGGGGCUCAACCCCGGGUCGGCCGUGGCAACUGUCGAGCUGAAGCACUGUAGAGGCAGGUGGAAUUCCGGGUGUAGCGGUGGAAUGCGUAGAGAUCCGGAAGAACACCGGUGGCGAAGGCGGCCUGCUGGGCAGUGGCUGACGCUGAGGCGCGACAGCGUGGGGAGCAAACAGG